RNAcentral lists this ribosomal RNA (550 nucleotides) under uncultured Planctomycetota bacterium. RNAcentral's name for it is "bacterial SSU rRNA". It matches the Rfam family "Bacterial small subunit ribosomal RNA", at positions 365 to 909 of the family's 1533-position model. Lineage: Bacteria; Pseudomonadati; Planctomycetota. The record is from RNAcentral.
UCGGCAAUGGACGAAAGUCUGACCGAGCGACGCCGCGUGCGGGAUGAAGGCCUCGGGUUGUAAACCGCUGUCAGUAGUUAGGAAGUCCAUGAGAGUUAUCUCUCAUGGUUGACCGAUCUUCAGAGGAAGGACGGGCUAAGUUCGUGCCAGCAGUCGCGGUAAGACGAACCGUCCAAACGUUAUUCGGUAUCACUGGGCUUAAAGCGUGCGUAGGCGGCCUGGUAGGUGAGAUGUGAAAGCCCACGGCUCAACCGUGGAAUUGCGUUUCAAACCCCCCAAGCUCGAGGAAGAUAGGGGUGAUGGGAACUUAUGGUGGAGCGGUGAAAUGCGUUGAUAUCAUAGGGAACACCGGUGGCGAAAGCGCAUCACUGGAUCUUUUCUGACGCUGAGGCACGAAAGCUAGGGUAGCGAACGGGAUUAGAUACCCCGGUAGUCCUAGCCGUAAACGAUGAACACUGGGUUGAGGGGACUUCCACAUCCUCUCGGCCGUAGCGAAAGCGUUAAGUGUUCCGCCUGGGGAGUAUGGUCGCAAGGCUGAAACUCAAAGGAA